Molecule: unclassified non-coding RNA, 310 nt
Filed under: plant metagenome
Description: partial contains 5.8S ribosomal RNA, internal transcribed spacer 2, and large subunit ribosomal RNA
Rfam family: 5.8S ribosomal RNA (bases 1-105)
Source: RNAcentral
GAAAUGCGAUAAGUAGUGUGAAUUGCAGAAUUCAGUGAAUCAUCGAAUCUUUGAACGCACAUUGCGCCCCUUGGUAUUCCAUGGGGCAUGCCUGUUCGAGCGUCAUUUGUACCCUCAAGCUCUGCUUGGUGUUGGGUGUUUGUCCCCGUCUCCGCGCGUGGACUCGCCCCAAAGUGAUUGGCAGCCGGCGUACUGGUCCCGGAGCGCAGCACAUGUCGCGCAAACGAGUGCCUUGGUACGGCGGCGUCCAUAAGCCCCUCUCUCACGCUCUUGACCUCGGAUCAGGUAGGGAUACCCGCUUAACUUAAGC